ACGGAAGGCAGCAGUGAGGAAUAUUGGUCAAUGGGCGAGAGCCUGAACCAGCCAAGUAGCGUGAAGGAUGACGGCCCUAUGGGUUGUAAACUUCUUUUUCCGGGGGAUAAAGUGACCCACGUGUGGGUUAUUGCAGGUACCCGGUGAAUAAGGACCGGCUAAUUCCGUGCCAGCAGCCGCGGUAAUACGGAAGGUCCGAGCGUUAUCCGGAUUUAUUGGGUUUAAAGGGAGCGUAGGCCGUGCUUUAAGCGUGUUGUGAAAUGUAGGCGCCCAACGUCUGCACUGCAGCGCGAACUGGAGCACUUGAGUACGCAGGAAGUAGGCGGAAUUCGUCGUGUAGCGGUGAAAUGCUUAGAUAUGACGAAGAACUCCGAUUGGGAAGCCAGCUUACUGUAGCGCCACUGACGCUGAUGCUCGAAAGCGUGGGUAUCGAACAGGAUUAGAUACCCUGGUA
RNAcentral lists this ribosomal RNA (454 nucleotides) under uncultured Prevotella sp. RNAcentral's name for it is "partial 16S ribosomal RNA". It matches the Rfam family "Bacterial small subunit ribosomal RNA", at positions 341 to 792 of the family's 1533-position model. The record is from RNAcentral. Lineage: Bacteria; Pseudomonadati; Bacteroidota; Bacteroidia; Bacteroidales; Prevotellaceae.